RNAcentral lists this non-coding RNA (114 nucleotides) under Listeria monocytogenes FSL F2-515. RNAcentral's name for it is "Listeria sRNA rli38". It matches the Rfam family "Listeria sRNA rli38", at positions 1 to 114 of the family's 150-position model. The record is from Rfam by way of RNAcentral. Lineage: Bacteria; Bacillati; Bacillota; Bacilli; Caryophanales; Listeriaceae.
GUUGAGUGGGAAUAGAAAGCUAACAUAAUAAGAAUAGGAAUAUCAAUAAAUCAACGUUUUUCAACUUAUGAAAUGCUUGAUUUUCAUUAAAAAUGAUAUGGUUUCCUACCACAA